AUCAAGAUAUGGUAGAAGGUGAGUGACUUUAUUAUAAACCAAAGCCAGCAGUGGGGAAUACAAUCCAGGUUAUUGUCUCAGUGAAACCACUUCAAAUUUCCAAGUGAAAUGCAAGGGUUUAGGAAGGGAAGGUUUUGGCAUGGAGGGUAUGCAAGGGGUCAGAGGCAGUGCAGGUCAGUGUGACUUGUUCCCAUGACUUGACUUGAGUUAUUUCUCUAUCUGGUGAAUGGGUAGGCGCCAUCUUAGGCUCCAGUAGCCAUGAAGCAAUUUCCUGGUGGGGGCGAUUUCCAUAGUUGCCUGUAUUUUAUUUUAUUUUAUUUUUUUGAGAUGGAGUUUCGCUAUUGUUACCCAGACUGGAGUGCAAUGGCACAAUCUCGGCUCACUGCAACCUCCGCCUCCUCGGUUCAGACAAUUCUUCUGCCUCAGCCUCCUGAGUAGCUGGGAUUACAGGCAUGUGCCACCAUGCCCAGCUAAUUUUUGUAUUUUUAGUAGAGACGGGUUUCACCUCAUUGACCAGGAUGGUCUCGAUCUCUUGACCUCGUGAUCCACCCGCCUUGGCCUCCCAAAGUGCUGGGAUUAUAGGCGUGAGCCACCGCGCCCGGCCAAGCCUGUAUUGUUUCAAGAUUUAGUCUCUGGAACUUUUAAGCAAACAUAGUAAAUACACUAGUAUGAAAUAAGUGUGAAGGGUACCUAGUGGAAAGAAGGAGUAUAAAGGUUACUAUUUCAUUACUGAAAAGUAAUACAAAGGGCCAAAGAAGGAAAAGAGGGGAAAAAACAAACAAAGCUUAAAAACGGGAUACUAGGUUACAAAUGACCUGUGGGGUUAAUUGAGCCCAUCAUUAAGUUGCAGACCAAUUUCUCAGUCUCCCCAAUCCUGCCUUCCUCCUUUCCCUUCAGUAGAUAUUGAACCAAAGGACACACCCUAAUAAACUGAUUAUCCUGGUGUGAUUCCAUCCUGCACGGCUGUUCUUUUGAGCAGUGGUCGUUUAUCUCUGCCCGCCUUCUCUUCUACCUAAGUGCGUUCCACCACCGGAUGGAAGAUUCGAUGGACAUGGACAUGAGCCCCCUGAGGCCCCAGAACUAUCUUUUUGGUUGUGAACUAAAGGCCGACAAAGAUGAUCACUUCAAGGUGGAUAAUGAUGAAAACGAGCACCAGUUAUCUUUAAGAAUGAUCAGUUUAGGGGCUGGUGCAAAGGAUGAAUUGCACAUUGUUGAAGCAAAGGCAAUGAAUUACGAAGGCAGUCCAAUUAAAGUAACACUGGCAACUUUGAAAAUGUCUGUACAGCCUACGAUUUCCCUUGGGGGCUUUGAAAUAACACCACCAGUGGUCUUACAUUUGAAGUGUGGUUCAGGGUCAGUACAUACUAGUGGACACCACUUAGUAGCUGUGGAGGAAGAUGCAGAGUCAGAAGACGAAGAGGAGGAGGAUGUGAAACUCUUAAGUAUAUCUGGAAAGCGGUCUGCCCCUGGAGGUGGUAGCAAGAUUCCACAGAAAAAAGUAAAACUUGCUGCUGAUGAAGAAGAUGAUGAUGAUGAUUUUGAUGAUGAGGAAACUGAAGAAAAACUACCAGUGAAGAAAUCUAUAUGCAGUACUCCAGCUAAAAAUGCACAAAAGUCAAAUCAGAAUGGAAAAGACUCAAAACCAUCAUCAACACCACGAUCAAAAGAACAAAAAUCCUUCACAAAAACAGGAAAAAACUCCUAAAACACCAAAAGGACCUAGUUCUGUACAAUACAUUAAAGCAAAAAUGCAAGCAAGUAUAGAAAAAGGUGGUUCUCUUCUCAAAGUGGAAGCCAGGUUCAUCAAUUAUGUAAAGAAUUGCUUCCGGAUUACUGACCAGGCUAUUCAAGAUCUCUGGCAGUGGAGGAAGUCUCUUUAAGAAAAUAGUUUAAACGAUUUGUUAAAAGUUUUCUGUCUUAUUUCAUUUCUCUAACAGUUGAUAUCUGGCUGUCCUUUUUAUAAUGUAGAGAGAGAACUUUCCCUACCGUGUUUGAUAAAUAUUGUCCAGGUUCCAUUGCCAAGAAUGUGUUGUCCAAAAUGCCUAUAGUUUUUAAAGAUAGAAUUCCACCCCUUGCUUGGUUUUAAGUAUGUAUGGAACGUUAUGAUAGGACAUAGUAGUAGCGGUGGUCAGACAUGGAAAUGGUGGGGAGACAAAAAUAUACAUGUGAAAUAAAACUCAGUAUUUUAAUAAAG
Molecule: non-coding RNA, 2194 nt
Organism: Callithrix jacchus (white-tufted-ear marmoset)
Lineage: Eukaryota; Metazoa; Chordata; Mammalia; Primates; Cebidae
Source: RefSeq, a predicted model, not a curated record